This 399-nucleotide long non-coding RNA is filed under the name Ananas comosus (pineapple). RNAcentral describes it as "long non-coding RNA (ACOM_LNC020494)". The record is from RNAcentral. Lineage: Eukaryota; Viridiplantae; Streptophyta; Magnoliopsida; Poales; Bromeliaceae.
GAAAAACUUGGCUAAAUCUCGAUAGAACGUUAAUAUAUCAGAACGGUACAUGUCUGAAAUUUAAUUUUUGAAUUUUCAAGUUUCGUUAUGAAUUUAGAUUGGUUUAUAUUCAACCUGCUGUAUCAAAAUUCGAUGGAAUGAACUUUAAACGAUGAAAAAUCAUUAUUCGAUAUUUUUUAGAAUAUCAAGAUUUGUGGGGUGUGGGGAUAAUAAAAAUUAUAAAAAAGAAUUUAGUAAAGAAGACAGAAAAGUUUUGUCAUUUAUUUUUCAAGCAGUAGAUCUGUCAUUGGUUGAAAAUAUUUCAAUAGCAAAGAUAGCACGUGAAGCAUGGAGAAUACUAGCAAAAAUUAGAGGAGAUGAUUUGCAGUAAGAAAAUGAAAUUUAGGAAGAAGAAAAAAU